GACGUGAUUUGGGAAUGAGUGUGGUUGCCUAGGAUAUUCCAGAUAGUCAAGAGAUGACAAUGGAAGGGAGGGAAGCCAGGGUUCGAAAAGCAGCAACACUUACAGAGAUAACCCCUGGGCUCCUGAGAGCAGGGAUUGUGACUUACUCAUCUUUGAUGUAGCCAAGUUCCAACAAACCUAAAUGUGCAGAGCAACCCGGUGGCGGAGGGAGACCUUCGGCGGCGCGGGGCUCUGUGUGCGGCCAGCAUUGGUUGGCUCCCAGCUCUGGGUGUCUCGGGUCACCUGAGUGCAACCCGUGAGAAGAGACAAGACCACCCAGAAGAUAUGGCCAAGCACACCCCCGCUGAGGCUGUGUGCGGCUGUGCCCUGGGCAAAGCUGGCUCGCUUCCUAGUGGUCCGCCCUGCCAGUUAUUUCAUGGCAGCCUCUUCAUUUGUAAAAGGGCCUUAAUAAUAGCUAAUCACGGGUCGUCCACGAGGCCAGGCUGAGAUGAUGCAGGAGUGCAGCCAACACGGUGCCUGGCACGCGAUGCCGCUCUCGGUGGCCAAGUGGCCAUUGCUGAUGCUGUUGUCACUGUUGUCCCAUCCCCCUCACAGUACAACUGGCUCUCACAUGUAGGGGACGCAGAGCACAGCAGCGUCCUGAGCACCACAGGAG
RNAcentral lists this long non-coding RNA (655 nucleotides) under Piliocolobus tephrosceles (Ugandan red Colobus). Its description in RNAcentral is "lncRNA (ENSPTEG00000005931.1)". Lineage: Eukaryota; Metazoa; Chordata; Mammalia; Primates; Cercopithecidae. The record is from RNAcentral.